GGGUUGUGAGGUUAAGCGACUAAGCGUACACGGUGGAUGCCCUGGCAGUCAGAGGCGAUGAAGGACGUGCUAAUCUGCGAUAAGCGUCGGUAAGGUGAUAUGAACCGUUAUAACCGGCGAUUUCCGAAUGGGGAAACCCAGUGUGAUUCGUCACACUAUCAUUAACUGAAUCCAUAGGUUAAUGAGGCGAACCGGGGGAACUGAAACAUCUAAGUACCCCGAGGAAAAGAAAUCAACCGAGAUUCCCCCAGUAGCGGCGAGCGAACGGGGAGCAGCCCAGAGCCUGAAGUGACUGCGUACCUUUUGUAUAAUGGGUCAGCGACUUAUAUUCUGUAGCAAGGUUAACCGAAUAGGGGAGCCGAAGGGAAACCGAGUCUUAACUGGGCGUUAAGUUGCAGGGUAUAGACCCGAAACCCGGUGAUCUAGCCAUGGGCAGGUUGAAGGUUGGGUAACACUAACUGGAGGACCGAACCGACUAAUGUUGAAAAAUUAGCGGAUGACUUGUGGCUGGGGGUGAAAGGCCAAUCAAACCGGGAGAUAGCUGGUUCUCCCCGAAAGCUAUUUAGGUAGCGCCUCGUGAAUUCAUCUCCGGGGGUAGAGCACUGUUUCGGCAAGGGGGUCAUCCCGACUUACCAACCCGAUGCAAACUGCGAAUACCGGAGAAUGUUAUCACGGGAGACACACGGCGGGUGCUAACAUGCUGGAGGUAUCAGAAGUGCGAAUGCUGACAUAAGUAACGAUAAAGCGGGUGAAAAGCCCGCUCGCCGGAAGACCAAGGGUUCCUGUCCAACGUUAAUCGGGGCAGGGUGAGUCGACCCCUAAGGCGAGGCCGAAAGGCGUAGUCGAUGGGAAACAGGUUAAUAUUCCUGUACUUGGUGUUACUGCGAAGGGGGGACGGAGAAGGCUAUGUUGGCCGGGCGACGGUUGUCCCGGUUUAAGCGUGUAGGCUGGUUUUCCAGGCAAAUCCGGAAAAUCAAGGCUGAGGCGUGAUGACGAGGCACUACGGUGCUGAAGCAACAAAUGCCCUGCUUCCAGGAAAAGCCUCUAAGCAUCAGGUAACAUCAAAUCGUACCCCAAACCGACACAGGUGGUCAGGUAGAGAAUACCAAGGCGCUUGAGAGAACUCGGGUGAAGGAACUAGGCAAAAUGGUGCCGUAACUUCGGGAGAAGGCACGCUGAUAUGUAGGUGAAGUCCCUCGCGGAUGGAGCUGAAAUCAGUCGAAGAUACCAGCUGGCUGCAACUGUUUAUUAAAAACACAGCACUGUGCAAACACGAAAGUGGACGUAUACGGUGUGACGCCUGCCCGGUGCCGGAAGGUUAAUUGAUGGGGUUAGCGCAAGCGAAGCUCUUGAUCGAAGCCCCGGUAAACGGCGGCCGUAACUAUAACGGUCCUAAGGUAGCGAAAUUCCUUGUCGGGUAAGUUCCGACCUGCACGAAUGGCGUAAUGAUGGCCAGGCUGUCUCCACCCGAGACUCAGUGAAAUUGAACUCGCUGUGAAGAUGCAGUGUACCCGCGGCAAGACGGAAAGACCCCGUGAACCUUUACUAUAGCUUGACACUGAACAUUGAGCCUUGAUGUGUAGGAUAGGUGGGAGGCUUUGAAGUGUGGACGCCAGUCUGCAUGGAGCCGACCUUGAAAUACCACCCUUUAAUGUUUGAUGUUCUAACGUGGACCCGUAAUCCGGGUUGCGGACAGUGUCUGGUGGGUAGUUUGACUGGGGCGGUCUCCUCCUAAAGAGUAACGGAGGAGCACGAAGGUUGGCUAAUCCUGGUCGGACAUCAGGAGGUUAGUGCAAUGGCAUAAGCCAGCUUGACUGCGAGCGUGACGGCGCGAGCAGGUGCGAAAGCAGGUCAUAGUGAUCCGGUGGUUCUGAAUGGAAGGGCCAUCGCUCAACGGAUAAAAGGUACUCCGGGGAUAACAGGCUGAUACCGCCCAAGAGUUCAUAUCGACGGCGGUGUUUGGCACCUCGAUGUCGGCUCAUCACAUCCUGGGGCUGAAGUAGGUCCCAAGGGUAUGGCUGUUCGCCAUUUAAAGUGGUACGCGAGCUGGGUUUAGAACGUCGUGAGACAGUUCGGUCCCUAUCUGCCGUGGGCGCUGGAGAACUGAGGGGGGCUGCUCCUAGUACGAGAGGACCGGAGUGGACGCAUCACUGGUGUUCGGGUUGUCAUGCCAAUGGCACUGCCCGGUAGCUAAAUGCGGAAGAGAUAAGUGCUGAAAGCAUCUAAGCACGAAACUUGCCCCGAGAUGAGUUCUCCCUGAC
This 2261-nucleotide ribosomal RNA is filed under the name Escherichia coli. RNAcentral's name for it is "bacterial LSU rRNA". It matches the Rfam family "Bacterial large subunit ribosomal RNA". Lineage: Bacteria; Pseudomonadati; Pseudomonadota; Gammaproteobacteria; Enterobacterales; Enterobacteriaceae. The record is from RNAcentral.